This is a long non-coding RNA of Lytechinus variegatus (green sea urchin), 1956 nucleotides long. RefSeq lists it as uncharacterized. The record is from RefSeq and is a predicted model, not a curated record. Lineage: Eukaryota; Metazoa; Echinodermata; Echinoidea; Temnopleuroida; Toxopneustidae. The transcript is spliced from 3 exons.
AGAGGUACCCUUAAUUUCAUUCGCAUUCACACCGAACUUGGCGGUUACGUAAUGCGCAGGGGGUGAUACGAGCGCACAAUGGCGGGAAAAUCUGAAUCACUCUUCCAGAAUAAUAGAGACAGUGCAUGAAUGAGUUCACUAACAUACAGGGUAGAACGCAAGGAAUGUAGAAAAUAACUCUGAGCCCUAACAUGUUUGAAAAGGUCUGGAACGACACUUCGCAAUCAGUGAAGACGGUAAAGUCUGGGCUACUUGAUUGAUUGUGAACAACAUUUGAAAAUGGAAGAAAACCUACAGAUAUUCAAAUAAUAUUGUAAGAAAACCGUUCAAUUUGUAUAUUUAUCGAACGUUUGAACGUCUGUAUUGUAUAUACAAUUUCAGCAUGCAAGACAAAACAACAAGUGGACGAUGUAGUGUCGGCUGCAAAAUGGCAAGAACUGCACAUCUAGACCAUUCAUUAUCUACCAAGUCACUAGUGAAUCCCUCGAGCCCAUGAAACACUGAUGGGAGCAAGACAAAUUCGAUGAUGACGACUUCGACGUCGAGCACCAUGAGAGAUUAUGGACUCAUGGAUGACGGAAUUCUUAUAUCAGAGUCUUGAUGAGACGCGAGCAGAGCUUCGUUGCAUGAAAACUAUUUGUUAUGGUAACAUCGUCAGUAUAUGUGGAUUUAACUCUUCACAAGCUCUGAUCUCUGAUGACCUCGUAUUCAACUUUCCUAUGUUUGCUAACAUUUCAAGCCUUUGAAGAGCCUUACGAGAGGAAGCGCGGAUGGUGUCUCAGAGUAUUCAAAGAAAUAAAAGGCACAGGUAAAAACAAUGAGAAAAACACAACAGAAUAUACAAAAAAAGGUUAGGUGAUGAAACACGGAGAGAUUAAGGAUUCCUUUCCUGUGCAUCAUGACUCGCAUCAGACUGAACGCAUCGGAAACCGUGGCAACUCAAAUUUGAUGGAUUUUUUUGUUACUCAAUUAUGAAAACUAAAGCAAAAUUGUGUCAUUUGAAUCAUUCAUUAAUUCUUCGUGGAAUGUGCAUUAUACUGAAUAAUAGAAAAAAGUGGGAAGUGAAUUUUUUUUUACCCGAAAUCUCAAUGUCUUUGGAAUAUGCAAUGUCCUUUGUAUGUCACUGUCCAGGGGCCCGUUGCAGAAAGGGUUGCGUUUAAACGCAAACCAAAAUAUCAAUCGCAAGUCCCAAAUGCGCGCUGUUGAUUGGUUGAAAAUCAAGUUGCGCACGAUUUUUAGAGAUGCGAUUGAUUGCACUCUUUCUGCAACGGGCACUUUCACAAAAUUUAAAAUAUUCAUUAAACUAUGAAAUCCACAUCGAUUCUCAAAAUUGUUAAUACUCUGAACUCUUUGAAAUGACGGAGUCCAAUGUUGUUCCAACUAUACAUUCAAUCCAUUAUGCAAAAUGUGAAUACAACAUACAUUUGUGGACAUUCAAACUCAAUUAAUUCUCGAAGGAGUUCACGAUUUGAAAAAAAGUUUCUCAGCAUUAAUUUUCAUUUUUUUAUUUGGCUGCAUAUUUUCAGGAAUGCGCAUCCCAUGAAAUAUAAUCAUCAAUGGAAAAUAAUCAAUACGAAUUUUAUUACCCCGAUUCAGAUGCAGAACUUUAAAGGGGUUAUUAUGAUCCUUAUAACGCAAUAAUUUGUAGUUCCGAUUACCUUUCCAUAAUGUAUCGAAUUGUUUAUUUACAAUGACAGUCUUGACGGAGAUUAAAUUCUAAGAUGUAUAUCGGGAUGGGGGGUGAAGUCAAAUGUUUUGCAGUACACAUGCGUGACCAAAUUAUUUCCAAACACUCCCUAAACGAGUUUUUUUUCUCUAUGUGCAAAAUAACCCCAAACAAUUUUUUCACGGGCUUCAUUUACACAAAGAAACGUGCCUGUAACACGUUUGGCUGGUCUUAAAAAAUUGAAAAAAUACCCUAAAUACGUCCCUCGAUUGACCAUUGACCAGUCUUUC